This 414-nucleotide ribosomal RNA is filed under the name Enterobacteriaceae bacterium. RNAcentral describes it as "bacterial SSU rRNA". It matches the Rfam family "Bacterial small subunit ribosomal RNA", at positions 383 to 788 of the family's 1533-position model. The record is from RNAcentral. Lineage: Bacteria; Pseudomonadati; Pseudomonadota; Gammaproteobacteria; Enterobacterales; Enterobacteriaceae.
CUGAUGCAAGCCAUGCCGCGUGUAUGAAGAAGGCCUUCGGGUUGUAAAGUACUUUCAGCGGGGAGGAAGGGAGUAAAGUUAAUACCUUUACUCAUUGACGUUACCCGCAGAAGAAGCACCGGCUAACUCCGUGCCAGCAGCCGCGGUAAUACGGAGGGUGCAAGCGUUAAUCGGAAUUACUGGGCGUAAAGCGCACGCAGGCGGUUUGUUAAGUCAGAUGUGAAAUCCCCGGGCUCAACCUGGGAACUGCAUCUGAUACUGGCAAGCUUGAGUCUCGUAGAGGGGGGUAGAAUUCCAGGUGUAGCGGUGAAAUGCGUAGAGAUCUGGAGGAAUACCGGUGGCGAAGGCGGCCCCCUGGACGAAGACUGACGCUCAGGUGCGAAAGCGUGGGGAGCAAACAGGAUUAGAUACCCC